RNAcentral lists this ribosomal RNA (541 nucleotides) under Tropidophora unicarinata. RNAcentral describes it as "partial 16S ribosomal RNA". It matches the Rfam family "Bacterial large subunit ribosomal RNA", at positions 1807 to 2609 of the family's 2925-position model. The record is from RNAcentral. Lineage: Eukaryota; Metazoa; Mollusca; Gastropoda; Littorinimorpha; Pomatiidae.
ACAAAAACAUGUCUCUUUGUCUUUUUUAUAUAAAGAGUUGGGCCUGCCCAGUGAUUUAUUUUAACGGCUGCGGUAUUUUAACUGUGCGAAGGUAGCAUAAUCAUUUGCUUUAUAAUUGAAGGCUAGUAUGAAGGGUUUGACGAGAGUAAUGCUGUCUUAAUUAAAUUUUUUAGAAUUUAACUUUUAAGUGAAAAGGCUUAAAUUUAAUUAAUAGACAAGAAGACCCUAUCGAGCUUUAAAAUAUUGUAAAUUUAUAUAACAUAAUUGAUAUAAAUUAAAUUUUAUUGAAUUUUUUAGUUGGGGUGACUAAGGAACAAUAAAAGCUUCUUUUAAAUUUUAAUUUAAUUGUGAUUUUUGAUCCAAUAUAUAUAUUGAUGUUAGAUUUAGUUACCGUAGGGAUAACAGCAUAAUUUUUUUUUAGAGUUCUUAUCAAAAAAAAGGAUUGUGACCUCGAUGUUGGAUUAAAAUUUCCUGGGGGUGUAGAAGCUUUUAAAUUUAUUGGGUUGGUCUGUUCGACCAUUAAAAUUUUACAUGAGCUGAG